This 199-nucleotide long non-coding RNA is filed under the name Elaeis guineensis (African oil palm). RNAcentral describes it as "long non-coding RNA (EGUI_LNC028428)". The record is from RNAcentral. Lineage: Eukaryota; Viridiplantae; Streptophyta; Magnoliopsida; Arecales; Arecaceae.
GGACCAACUGGUCUGAAAUAAAAUGGAGGUUUCCCUUCAAUCGACUAAGUUCUUAUUCAGUGAAACAAUCUAUGACUUCGAUCUGACUAAGUCCAUCUACAAAACCAACCACAUGAUUUAAAGAUUUUUUUUAAAGUCUACAAGUUCGGUCAUGAUCUACUCAGUUUGUAGCUUCCCGUCGACUACCUUACUUAGUCUC